Molecule: ribosomal RNA, 253 nt
Filed under: uncultured bacterium
Lineage: Bacteria
Description: partial 16S ribosomal RNA
Rfam family: Bacterial small subunit ribosomal RNA
Source: RNAcentral
UACAGAGGGGGCAAGCGUUGUUCGGAAUUACUGGGCGUAAAGGGCGCGUAGGCGGCCUGUUAAGUCGGACGUGAAAUCCCUCGGCUCAACCGGGGAACUGCGUCCGAUACUGGCGGGCUUGAAUUCGGGAGAGGGGUGUGGAAUUCCAGGUGUAGCGGUGAAAUGCGUAGAUAUCUGGAGGAACACCGGUGGCGAAGGCGGCAUCCUGGACCGACAUUGACGCUGAGGCGUGAAAGCCAGGGGAGCAAACGGG